UUUAAAGAGAGUUUGAUCCUGGCUCAGGACGAACGCUGGCGGCGUGCCUAAUACAUGCAAGUCGAACGAACGGAGGAAGAGCUUGCUCUUCCAAAGUUAGUGGCGGACGGGUGAGUAACACGUGGGCAACCUGCCUGUAAGUUGGGGAUAACUCCGGGAAACCGGGGCUAAUACCGAAUGAUAAGUAGUGACGCAUGUCACCACUUUGAAAGAUGGUUUCGGCUAUCGCUUACAGAUGGGCCCGCGGUGCAUUAGCUAGUUGGUAGGGUAAAGGCCUA
RNAcentral lists this ribosomal RNA (278 nucleotides) under Listeria immobilis. Its description in RNAcentral is "partial 16S ribosomal RNA". It matches the Rfam family "Bacterial small subunit ribosomal RNA", at positions 1 to 267 of the family's 1533-position model. The record is from RNAcentral. Lineage: Bacteria; Bacillati; Bacillota; Bacilli; Caryophanales; Listeriaceae.